This 529-nucleotide ribosomal RNA is filed under the name uncultured bacterium. Its description in RNAcentral is "bacterial SSU rRNA". It matches the Rfam family "Bacterial small subunit ribosomal RNA", at positions 777 to 1304 of the family's 1533-position model. The record is from RNAcentral.
AAUAGAUACCCCGGUAGUCCAUGCCGUAAACGUUGGGCACUAGGUGUGGGGCCAGUUCCACUGGUUCUGUGCCGUAGCUAACGCAUUAAGUGCCCCGCCUGGGGAGUACGGCCACAAGGCUAAAACUCAAAGGAAUUGACGGGGGCCCGCACAAGCGGCGGAGCAUGCGGAUUAAUUCGAUGCAACGCGAAGAACCUUACCAAGGCUUGACAUGUACGAGAAAGCCCCAGAGAUGGGGUUCUCUUUGGACACUCGUACACAGGUGGUGCAUGGUUGUCGUCAGCUCGUGUCGUGAGAUGUUGGGUUAAGUCCCGCAACGAGCGCAACCCUUGUCUCAUGUUGCCAGCGGGUUAUGCCGGGGACUCAUGGGAGACUGCCGGGGUCAACUCGGAGGAAGGUGGGGAUGACGUCAAAUCAUCAUGCCCCUUAUGUCUUGGGCUUCACGCAUGCUACAAUGGCCGGUACAGAGGGCUGCGAUACCGUGAGGUGGAGCGAAUCCCAAAAAGCCGGUCUCAGUUCGGAUCGGGGU